Molecule: non-coding RNA, 1511 nt
Organism: Paramuricea clavata
Lineage: Eukaryota; Metazoa; Cnidaria; Anthozoa; Malacalcyonacea; Plexauridae
Source: the annotation of a GenBank genome assembly
CGUGAAUUACAUAUUUUUGUUCCAGGGUCUGCAGUGACGUAUCGUCCAGUGUUUUCAACAGCCGAACUUGGUUCAUCGUAUAACUUCACAUGUCCAGCUGAUUUGACCAAGAACUACAAAUAUAGGUUUCACACAAGAGGUUUUUUCGGGCCGCGCACAUUGAUAACACCUGAUGCUAAUACUAAACAAUUUGGACAUGUAUUGAUGAAGUCAAAUCUGAGAUACACAGAUUCUGGAUUGUAUUUUUGUUCUGUUUAUGAUCAAAGUCAUAAAGUGAUAAAGAAAUUUAAACAUUCAAUGAUUGGAAUACUUAGUGUUUUCCACGUAAGUAAUUAAUGUUUUGGACUUUUAAGUUUCAGAAAUAAUAAAUUAGAAUAUGUAUAUAUGGGUGCCUGCCAUGCACUGUUGGUAUACAGUGCACAUAGAUAGAGACUUUAUUUAAAGAGGGUGACACUUAAUAGUACGAAGUACCAAUGAACUUGUGGCCCUUGUGCCCUUGUGGCACAUGUACCUCAAACCACCAAAAAGCACAUCGCAGUAUUUUUUUUUAAAUGUACACUCCAGUUAAAGAUGGAUUUGUAUUUGUAUUAUGGUGAAAAAUAUGAUUGUGUAUGUAUACCACAUACAGCGGAUCAAACAAAGUUCGGGCAGCAUGAGUGUUGUAUUGACUAUAUAGCGGUUCAUCAAGGCCAUCAGCAAUGUGUAAUAUCAUGCAUUAGAGUUGUGCAGGUUUGGGCCCCUGAAAGUGUGUAAUUUAUCAGCUCUGAAUGAAAAGUUCUGAAAACAUUCUAAAUUUUGUCAAUAAAGUGGAAAAAAUUGUUUUACUAAUUCCAUGGUAAUGUGAAAAUGUUAUAAUUCACAUGCAUAAAUUUAAAAUGCAUUUAGCUAAGCUUUUAAGCUAAAGUACCUUCGGUUUAGGGGUACAUAUAGUGGUAUUGUGAAUAUUGAUGUUUCUACAACUUUGCUAACAGAAACAAAAAAUUCCGGAAAUUAUAGAUAGAAGAAUCGUAACAAUAUAAGAUCUUUGACUUUUUAUUGUAAUAUUAACAUUCAUACUCUCAUUAAGUUACAUUGUUACAAGUUGUAUAGCAACAGAUAUUAAACAAUUAUUGAAUGAGGUGGAGUGGGAUAUGAGGAAUUAUUGAGGCUGAGAUAACACAAACCAUUAUUUAUUAGAAACAAAUAUAUACACAAGUUUUUUCCAGCUAACUUGAUAAAUAAGUUUGUACAUUUUAAAAUAAAAAUAUUUGAAUUCUGAGAUUGGCAUAAUAUUUUUAAAAAUCCUCCAUAUUUACUUUUUUAGGUAAACCAGACUCAAAUUGACCGGAUGAUCUGAUUCUGACUGCAGUAACAAAGAACAAAUUAAAUUAUAAGUAUCAAUUAAUGGAACUGUAAUUUUCAUGUUGAAUUAUUUGACGAUACAGUCAAAGUGAUUUUUGUGUAAUUGAAUAAUAGGUGUUAACGUGAUUACAUGGGUAGCAAGCAUUAAUAAAUUUAAAUAUCGUAAUCAG